GCAUACAUUUGAGAUAGGACUUUUAUUUUAUCCAGAAGCUAAAAAUCACCAAAUGUUAUAUUUUAAUAUGCAGAUAACCCUUAUUCUGAUUUGGGUUUGGAAGCUUGAUCAGAAAAGGUUUUUACUGUGGUGUUUAGGACGUCACGUUCUUUAGAAAGAAAGCUGUCUGUUUUUCUUUUCUCCAGAGGAACUGCAGUUUAGGACAGGCACAAAGCUGGGAACAUAACCAAGGGCAGAAAAAAAAUUCACCCCUAUGUUCUGUUUGUCAAACUGACCUGCAGGUCACAACCUGAAAGUUUAUGGAUUGGUGAGGCCUUGUCUCCACAUAAGCAUGUUUUCUGGACUUUGGCUGAAGCUAAAUUCCUGACUUCUGAAAGAGGGGUGGGUGUGGACUUCCAGCAGGAAUAGCCAGUGGGAAGGAAGUAAUAUUCAUUAAGAGUGUCUCAUGCAAGCAGUGCCGGGCUAAGCAUGCUCAGUGUAAAUUCUCCUGGAGCCUGUCAAGCUAUGUUUGAACUCGUUCCAGAAUAGUGGAUUUACUUUUUUUUUUUUUCCCACCAGGAAGAAUACUCGAUAGACUGCAUUUUGCCUUGCUUUUCUUUCUUUCUUUCUUUUUCCUUUUCUUUAUCUUUCUUUCUUUCUUUCUCUUUCUUUUUCUUUCUUUCUUUCUUUCUUUCUUUCUUUCUUUCUUUCUUUCUUUUCUUUCUUUCUUUUUCUCUUUCUUUCUUCUUUCCUUCCUUCUUUCUUUUCUUUCUUUCCAUUUUUUUUCCUCCAGAAGAAUGGAAACAAUAUUCUUUUCUGAUCAGUUCAGUAAUACAGUGCCCUUCAGUGUCCAUGUGAGCAUUUCAGUGGAGAAGAAAAGAAACUUUGCUACCUGGGAACUGAAGACUACUUAGUGAAGAUCCUGGUGUUACACUUCCAGUUGUUCACCUCUUUCCAAGAUGAUCACAUUCCGGAAAACUUUCACUACUAAGAGGAACUGAGAUCUAGAGCGUCUCCUUGAGGACGUACAACCGGAUUCUCCCCUCUUUGGCUCUUCCCUGGACCAAGGACAGAAGAAUCAUUCAACACACACGCUAUGGGCAAAAGGGGCAUAUUUGGGGCAAAUAGGGCAUUAUAAAUUAAGGAGGAAAAAUAAGAAAGAGUUUGAAGACAUGCACAGCUCACAGGCCCUGGGUGGAGGCUGGCAGCAUCGGACAGACAGAACCAAGACAUCUGAGGGGCAACCAGGAGGUGCGUGUGGCUGCAGAGCACAGAGGGUGUGAUGCAAAAGGCUGACCACGGAGUGGGAGAGGGAGAGUUUGGAAAGUGAUACAGAGACAUAAGAAGGUUUGAAGUUGGUUCCAACUCGGCCACCCCAGAAACUUCACAAGGCAUGAGAGGAUGGGAGAUUGACACUGAAGGCUCAGUUGCACAGGAAGAUUCAGAGUGAGUAGGUGUGCCGGAAAGUCAAUCAAAUCAUUUGGUUUGUGUGUCAUAUAGCCACACCUACUCUGGACUUUGACCCAAACUAGAAGGAAUUCUGGUCUGAGGGUGUUUUUAGGUCCUCUCCAUUGGGAACUCAUGUUUCACACUUUCCCUUUCUUCCUUCGGAUCUUCCACAGUCGCUCCAGGUAAUGGAUUAGGAGUCAGAAAUUCCACAUUCCAGUCCAGGCUUUCCCACUUAUUGGCUUAAGAAAGGAAAUAUCUGCAUUUCCUUUUCCUCUGUCUAUAAAAGGAAGAUAAUAAUAUAAUACUUAUGAGCCCUACAGGGUUUUUCUGAGGGUUGAAUAAGUAAGAUAGUGUGAAAAAUGCUCUUAAUAGAUUACAAUUGCUAGUUAAAUAAAAGAUGGCAUGAAUAAUAUUAAUUAGGUAAUAUAUUCUUCGUAUUCUCAGCAGGGGGUUUGCCUAUUGAGCUUCACACACACACACAUAUAUGUAUGCACAUAUAUAUGUGAAGAAUAAGAUAAUGUAUAACAUAUAUUUUAUAAAGAUAUAUUAGCCUUAACCUACUAUCUGUGAAGAAAUUUCAAUAUAUGACUCUAUUUCCACAGCACUUGUUAGAGUAACCUCUUUGGCAGACAAAUAGGAAUUUUUGUGUUCUUACCUUUUUAGCCACCAUCAGAUGUUAUUUUCCCUGACCUUGGCUAUAUUUUUGUAUUUCUCAAACACGCAGAUAAUGAUUGAUGGUGUCUGCUUGGCUACCUGGAUGAGUGAUUUGUCUGUGUCCUGGACACUGCUGCCGGAACAAAUGUCACACUGUGUCUCAGGCACAUGAUCAGACUAAAUAUGCCUGGAAGAAGCAAAUAAGAGACUCUGUCAAUCAGUUAAUAAUCCCACUGCUAUAUUCCCUGCCUGAAGAGUGUGUGUGUGUGUGUGUGUGUGUGUGUGUGUUUUCUGGGUCAUUUAUUACUUAACUCAUUGAACCAUCUUGGAUGGAAAAUUGGGUUCUGCACACGGGGUCAGGCUGGUUGAGUCUGCCUGUGAAGACUGAAGCUGGCUUUGAUGCCUGUAGAUGCACUCACCCUUGCCUUGGGUUCCAGAGGCAACGUGGUGUAUGGGGAAGGCGAUGUAGAUGGUGGGAAAAUCACUUGACUUCUCUUGUUCAUCUGUUAAAUGAGACUGUUACCAUCCUUUCUUCGUGCAUCCAAAUGUAGAUGUCAGGAGCACAUGAGAUUAUGCUGUGCACACCAACAGUUCAUAACUCUCCGAGGUCAGUAUAAUUAUAAGGUUUUAUUGCCAUUAUUCUGCUGCAUGUUUCUUACAUGACUUACCCAUAUUUCACAAUUUAAAUUAUUUGAAAAGCUGCCCUUCCAGAGCUGUUAAUGUAUUCUCUUACUUUUUUCAUCUCCACCAAUCAACUGAUAAAUCAAAUAUUUAUAGAGAUGCUAAAUUUGUCAUAUACCUACUCAUUGCCAAAAAGUUAAUAUCCUAUCUAAAUCACAUGAAUAGAUGCACCAUGUAUACAUAGGCUAUUUGUAUUUUUCUAACCAUACCAAAUACAUAUCUACAUCCCUUUAUUCAAGCAUGUGCCUAUUCCCCUUCUAUUAAAAAUAUAUGCGAAUAUGUAUUUGAGCAAGAAACAUAUACCUACAUCCACAAACACAGCAUCUUCACUUAGAUAGCAGAGUUGAUGAGGAAUAGGAGCAAGUGCAUCACUCUAUCAGCUGCAGCUAUUUUAGAGUCCAGAAAUGACCACAGCACACAAUUCAUGUGGUUAAAAAAAUCAUGGAUCAAUUUCUGCCCUGUUCCUAGUAAUGAAUAUCAAUAUCUUGCCUCUUCUAGACAGACUGUCAGCAGCUUCAGAUAUUUUUAAAUGAGUUUUUAAAAAUAAAUUUGUGAAGUCAAUUAUUUUGAAUCUCAUCUGAAGCAAUUAAAAAACAUCCUGACAUUUAAGGUGAUAUUUUUUCCCAAGUAAAAUAAUUAUAAAUAAUACUAAUUAUGAGCAAAUCAUUCAGUUACUCUCAGUCUGGUUCAACCUUUAGGUUAAUAAACCAGUCCAUUAAAAUUCAUCUUGCUCAAAGGACCAAUUUGUUAAAAAAUGUAGCGACCUUUCACCAUAAGUAUGAUUGAUACUUUCUUUAACAAUAAUCAGAGCUGUCUUUCCCAGAAGAGAGUAUGGUCAAGUGAUAGGUAUAGAAAACUAGGGUUCUUUUAUGCCUCUCUUGGUAAUACUUCUCAGAUAGGUGCAAAAUGAUAUUGAUGAUGAAGAUGGUGGUGAUAAUGUACAAAAUUAAAACUCUAAUUUCAAAGAGAGUACCUUCAAAAGAUGUUUGAAAGCCUCAGGACAGCUGAUCACAAAACCCAACUAUAUUACUCUUCAUGCUAAAACCAGAAUUUAGAUAUUUCCCUCGCUUCUAGUGUUUCAUUCUCACCAAAGGUGUAGGACAGAGAUUUGCAAAUGUGUCCCAUGGGCCAAAUCUCGUCCCCGACAUGUUAUAAAGAAAGUUUUAUUGGAACAAAGCCCGUUAUGAGAUAUUGUCUUUGGAUGCUUUUCUCCUACAGAGGCAGAAUGGAGUUGUUACAACUAUUGUAGGACCUACAGAGGCAGAAUGGAGUUGUUACAACUAUUGUUACGACCCUGACUAUUGUAGGUUACAGCACUGGCUGAGGACUUUCCGAGACCACAUGGUCCACAAAUCUUAAAAUGCUAUUAUUCUCUUACAAAAAAAAUUUGCCAACCCCUAUGUUAGGUAAUAAAAAAAAAAAAAACACUUCAAGAUUGAAUUUACAUCAGUAGCUAAUAUUUGAACAAUACUUUAGAGUUUAUAAAGUCUGAUCAUGUUAUGUCAUAGCAGGUAUUAUUAUCUUCACUUAGCUGAAGAAGAAAUUGCCAAUGUUUCCGUAGUCAUUCAGCCAUAAAGUGGUGUAGAAAGGAUUUGACCUCUGAAGAUGGAAGAAUGCUGCCCCAAUGGUAGCUUUCAAGAAGCAGGAAAGGAGCUGGCUCUCACACUGCAGUAAUGGCUACCUGUCUCUUUUAUCCACCUGGAUGUGACCGUUGCUCAAAGACAGUGGAGAAAGCAAAACUCGUAACAUUCUUUUCUCUCAUCAUCUGAACCUGGCUGGGGCGAUUUUAGCCUUGUUCACCUCUACAUCCUUACUCAUAUAACCAGAGUUAUGUUAAUAAACAGAAAGGAGAGCAAAGUGGUUUGCAGUCAAAGCUAAACUUUUUUUGCAUCAACUCUUGCUUGUACAUACUGAAAGGAAUGUAUCCACGCUGAAAUUGGCACUGUGGCAUGAAUAUUCCAAAACAGCAGAUAACAGAAAAGUCUUUCUUUUGGAAUACCUUUUUAAAAAGUUUGCAUUUUGAAACAGUAAAUGCUUUCUUAGUUAUAUUUCUUUUUUAUUCAAGUUAAUAUCAAAAUUAUAUUUUCCCCUCUGAGCUUAGAACGUCUAUUAGCAAAAUAGGCCUUAAAGUUCUAGAUAUCAGGAGGAAGAAAGCCUGGAAUGAAAACUGUGCUUUUAAGAUGCAUAGAUAUAAAACAACAAUUGUUUGCUGUGACCAAAGCUUUUCUUAAUCUUGUGUUUUCUUGGAAAAGGGUGAGGGAUGAAAUGAAACAAAUAAGAAUAAGAAAUUUUUACAUUGAAUCUUUUCAGAAGAUUCCAAGCCAAAGAUAAAGAUUUAAACAAUUGAACUAAUUCGAUGUUUCAUUCAACCAAUCUUUAUUUUGAGUGUCCACUGUGCAGGCACUGCUAGGAGCUAGAGUAUCACAGUGACUAAGAAAAUUGAUUAGAGAAACAAAUGUGCGUACGUGUUGUUAGAAUAAACAAUGGGAUGGGAGUACAGAUAAAAUCUUAAGUAUGUAGAUUCUUAAUGGAGAAGUCAUUCUUCCUUAGACAAUCACAGAGGAUAUUAUGGAGGAAGUAGCAUUUUGUGAGACUUGAAGAAUACACAGGUAUUGGACAUUUGAAAAUGGGAGGGCGUGGCAUUCUCGGAGGCAACUGAGGGAACGAAAGCAUAAGAGCAAAGUGUAGGGAUUAGAUGUGUUCAGAAAAUUGUUUGGUGCUUGUGCAACAUACGGUUAUAUGGGAAUAGAAGAAUAUGAGAGAGGUAAAAGAGGAUGAAACCAGAUUCUGGAGGGCCUUGGAUUGUAAGUUAAGAAGUUUGGUCUUUAUUCUGAAGAUAGCGAGAGCCAUUGAUUUUUUAUGUGCAGGAGAAUUACAUGGUCACACCUGUGCCUGGGAGUACUGUGACAGAUAUUGGAUAAGAAGUUGGAGGCAGGUCACCAGAAAGAGGUAAAAAGGUACUCCUCCACCUUGCUCUCUAAUUGCAACACUGCCUCUCUGUCACGACCCUGACUAUUGUAGGUUACAGCACUGGCUGAGGACUUUCCGAGGGCAUGUAUUUAAUGACAUGCCAGUGGCAUUUACUCAUGAAACCAAAAGCCAUUGGGGCCAGAAAUAGGGGUUUUGGUUACUUCCCCAGACAGGAUGCAGUUUGGGUGAUUAUACAUGUGAUUCAUUGAGGUCGGGAAGCAAAUCCUCUACAAACAAACAGCCCUCCCCUCCAAGCCCAGUGACUCAUGGCUUCUUCAGUUUGAUCCAUGGAAAGCUCUUGAGUCCAGGCAAAGUUUGAGGUAUAAGGUUAUAUCAAAAAUCUUUAGCAUUCAUCAUGACAAGAGAAACAUAUUUAUUCAUUCUUUCAACCAUUCAAGUAGUAAGCAUUUAUUGAACUUCUAUUGUUUUAGAUACAAAGAAUGUGGCAUUAAAAAACAUAGUUCCUGCCAUAAAAUAUUCCCCAGCUUAAUUGGGAAAACAGAUAUACACAACAAAGAGAGUAUCCUGUAAGUAUUAUUAUAGGGAAAUGCAAACAGUGCUAAAGGAUCAGAGGAGAGACACAUAGCUGCUUUGGGAGUGGACAGGUGGCAUUGGAAUUGGGUCUUAAAGAAUAACGAUUCCUCAUUAUUCAUUCAUUAUUCCAACAAAUAAUUAUUGAGCAAGCACUUACUAUGUGCCAGGCGCUGUUUUAUACAUGAGAUUUCAUACUUUUGUGGAACUUAAAUUUUAAUGAGAGGACCCAGAUAUUAAGCAUAGCUGGGAGUCAACCAAACAAAUAUGUACCCUCAAGGUCUUUACCCUCUUGUAAAGGUACGUUUCAGAGAGCAGCAACUAGCACGUUGUUUCAAGCAAGAACAAUGUAUGCUAAAAGAAGAAUGAAUCUAGCUCCCUGAGAGAGACUGGAGAAAGAAACCUCAGAUUUGGGAUGCCUAAUAUGGAAAGAAGGCUUAUUAAUAGCCCCAAAUUAAGAUGGGCAAAUUGCCCUGAGACUCUUUGGGUAUAGUGGACAGACGUAAGUUGGAGACCAUUUUUACAUGGAAAUUCAGAGCAUUCAGUCCCCUGACAUUCUGAUUUUGCAGUAAGUGUCAGGCACAUGGAGUCACUGACUAGGGACUGUGAGUACAGUUGUUUGGAUUCACUGAUAGAGCCUUGAUACCUUCAAUCUGACUGUUUUGCAGUGGCCCAGUGCCAUGAAAAUAAAAACCUAAGACACUGGCCACCUCCUUGCUUAAGUCAUAUUCAGGUCAAAUUCUGUAACAGCCAACUUCUGUUUGGAGGUCGUACUUGGUUCUCAUUUUAUCAGGUUGUCUAAAAUAACCAGGCCAUGAGGUGGUUAUUGUUAUGGUACUCAUUGGAAUGGGAUUUGACCUAUAUAAAGCAAAGAACUAGGACAGAAAUAGCUCUUCAGCCCAUCACAGGGUUGAAGAAAUCCAGUAUAAGCAAUUGUAGAAUCAGAGAGCUGGAAGAGACUCAAGGUGACAUAAGGUGAUCCUGGCAUCUGCCUCUAGGUCUGUCUGGAAAUUUAAUAUAAAUUCUGGAAUUCAUUAUUUUAACAAAUGCAUACAAACAUACUCAUCUAGAAUAGUAUAGUUCCUUUCAGGACAGUGACACUGCCUAGCCUUGGGCAAAACAUCUUUGAACCUCCUGUUUCAUAGCAGACCUCAGAAUUUAUAGCAUAUCCUUUUAAUAUACUUAGUGGAAGAAAUUCAUUGUCUUUUGAAGCUAUUUUGUGCUUUCAAAAAAAAACCCAAGUGCCAUAUUCAGUUGGUCCAGCUGGAUGAUACUGUUUUUGAAUAAAAAUGAAUUUAAGGUGGGGUGCAGUGGCUCAUGCCUGUAAUCCCAGUACUUUGGGAGACCAAGGUGGGUGGAUCACAAGGUCAGGAGUUCUAGACCAGUCUGACCAACAUGGUGAAACCCUAUCUCAGCUAAAAAUACAAAAAAUAGCCGGGCAUGGUGGCACAUGCCUGUAGCCCCAGCUACUCAGGAGGCUGAGGCAGAAGAAUUGCUUGAACCAGUAGCAGUGAGCUGAGAUCACACCACUGUACUCCAGCCUGGGCGACAGAGCAAGACUCCAUCUAAAAAAAUAAUAAUUAAAAAAAAAAGAAUUUAAGUGCAGUUAUAAAAUUGUAAGCUGACAUUUUUGUUUGCCUUAUAACUGGUUCAAAGGGACUUAGCAGCAAUUGAAAAAAUAGGUAUAUAUUUUCCCAGAUUUCUGAUUUGAGGGUAUAUGAAGCUCUGGUUAGUUGUACAGUUCCUCACUCCACUUGGUGAACUUACUUGACGUCAAGGAACAUGUCUUGUGUGUCCUCAAAUACCCACCUACCACAGAGGCAGAUGCAUGUGCGGACUAUUUGUUGAAUGAAUAAAAACCAAUAAUUCCAUUACUGUGUAGUCAUAUCAUGAAUUCUUUGUUCAUUUUGAUUGUUUUCAUCAUAUAUGAAUCCCAUGAUUGCCUGUUACCUUGAGGCUAAUUAGCCAGGAAAAAGCAAAGGAAACAGUGUUUGGUGGAUAGAGCACUGUUGUGGGAAGAAAGUUCAGGCUCUGGCAUAAAAUCUGUUAUGAGUAGGAUGGGUAGCUUUGAAAAAGAUACUUAAGUCUUUGUCUCCAUCAUUUUUUUUUUUUAUUUUUAUUUUUUUGAGACGGAGUUUCGCUUUUGUUACUCAGGCUGGAGUGUAAUGGCCGAUCUCGGCUCACCGCAACCUCCGCCUCCUGGGUUCAGGCAAUUCUCCUGCCUCAGCCUCCUGAGUAGCUAGGACUACAGGCACGCGCCACAGUGCCCAGCUAAUUUUUGUAUUUUUAGUAGAGACAGGGUUUCACCAUGUUCACCAGGAUGGUCUCGAUAUCUUGACCUUGUGAUCCACCCAUCUCAGCCUUGUCUCCAUCUUUAAAUGAAAGGAUUGAACAGAUGAUGGGAAAAGGUACAUUUGAGAAACAACAUCUUGAGUAGAUACUUUGCGCCUCUCUCUAUGUGCAUGCUAUAGUGGAGAUUCAUUGUUAUUCUUACUUAGAGACAGGAUCUCACUCUGUCACCCAGGCUGGAGUAUAGUGGUGCAAGAUCAUAGCUAACUGCAGCCUCAAACUCAUGGGCCCAAGAGAUCCUCCCACCUCAGCCUCCCGAGUAGCUGGGACUACAGGCAUGUGUCAUCACACACAGCUAAUUGUUUUAUUUUUUGCAGAGACAGGGUUUCACUAUGUUGCUAAGGAUAGUCUUGAACUCCUGAGCUCAAGUGAUCCUCCUGCCUCCUUCUAAAGUGGUGUGUGCCCCCAUGCUCAGCCUACAGAAAAUAUUUUUAAGGUUUUUUUUUUUUUUUUUUGAGACCAAGUCUUGCUCUGUGGCCCAGGCUGGAGUGUAGUGGCACGAUCUUGGUUCACUGCAACCUCUGCCAUCAGGGUUUAAGUGAUUCUCAUGCCUCAGCCACUUGAGUACCUGGGGCUAUAGGUGCAUGCUGCCACACUCAGCUAAGUUUUGUAAUUUUAACAGGGACAGGGUUUCACCGUGUUGGUCAGGCUGCUCUCGAACUCCUGACCUCAAGUGAUCCACCUGCCUUGGCCUCCCAAUAUUCUGGGAUUAUAGGUGUGAGCCACUGCGCCCAGCUAUUUUUUUUUUGAGACAGAGUUUCGCGCUUGUUACCCAGGCUGGAGUGCAAUGGCGCGAUCUCGGCUCAUGGCAACCUCCGCCUCCUGGGUUCAGGCAAUUCUCCUGCCUCAGCCUCCUGAGUAGCUGGGAUUACAGGCACGUGCCACCAUGCCCAGCUAAUUUUUUGUAUAUUUUUUAGUAGAGACGGGGUUUCACCAUGUUGACCAGGAUGGUCUCGAUCUCCUGACCUUGUGAUCCACCCGCCUCGGCCUCCCAAAGUGCUGGGAUUACAGGCUUGAGCCACCGUGCUCGGCCCCAGCUAUUUUUAAGGUUUUAGUGUUGUUCAGUACUUUAGUGUUUGCAAGUGACAGAAACCCAGCUUGAUUUACUUAGGUAACAAACCAAACUCUGGAAAGGGCUGGGGUACACCAGGCUCCAGAAAUUACUAGAAUCAGGGACCCAAGCAUUUCCUCCCACUUUGCCCUAAGCUUCUCUCUCUGGAUCAGCUUUAUUCUUUUAGACCUUCCUCCAUGAGGCUGGGAAAAUGUUGCAAAACCUCUGGGAAGUCCUCUGAGCCAGGAAAACAAGAUAACGUGACUGGCAGCUGCUAUAGAACCCCAAGGUUGGAUGCAGAGAAGGUCAGCUCCCCCAGAGAAAAGGUUGUUACACAGUCAAGAUAAAAUAGAGCCUUGCUAAAGCCUGCCUUCUCUUCCUGCCACCUACUCCGACCCUGCUUCUCUCAGCUCCACAAACGCUGGUGACUUUCUACUCUCCUUUCAAGACUCUGUUCAACUUCGCUUUCUCUGAGGCCUGACUGGCAGGGCAGCACAAUCCCUUCUUGUGUAUGCCCCCAAGGCACCUGAACCCAUCUGUACUGGGGAAGUACACCUUGCUGUGUUGCUUGUCCUGGUCUCUUUACCGAUUUUUCUUCCCAUGAGUCCAGGAACUCCUCAAAGGAUAGGGCAGAAAAACAGCCCUUUGGGGUAGGCCAUCUGAUGCAGCUGUACAUGUGAUGUGCUGGCAAUGAAGUAGUUCGGGUGUGCUAAUUUUGAGGAUAUGAAUCACAGAGAAAGAACUGAAGUCUUGUCCCAGGAAGAAAGAGGGCAGGCAGAGGAUUUUUUACUGACUUGACUUUGGACAAAACUGAGAAGAACUCAUAAACUUGGCUUCUUCACUUCUGCUCCUCAGACGCAGGUGGAUGCUGUGAAGAUAAUAGCCUAGCAAGAUGGAAACAGGUUUAAAAUUUUACAUAAGAAGUGACCUUUUUCAGUUGUGUUGAUGUUCCUUUCAGCUGGUCCUAUAGUCCCCCUCCUCAGGAAUGUCUCCCCAGUACAAAGACAAAGACUGCAGAGACUGCUAUAUUGAUGGACCAUCAAGCCAACUAUGAAGUUGAAACAAAGAAAGCGAUCACCUGAAGACACCUCCUCUGCUAAGCAGCACCCACAAAUUGUGCAGCUUCAGCCACUAGGACUCUCAGAACAAGAGGCAAUCUUUUCAAGAAACAGAAAAACUCAAUCAUGACAUCUAGAUUUUCAUGAGCCAAGAACUUUCCCUUCCUCAUGUGUAUUCCUCUGUUUGUGCUUAAAUUCAUGUGCCAUUCAUUUUUUUCCUAAUAUGGAUAUGCUUAUAAUGCACUUGUUUUAAAAUCUCAAAUUGCGCAAAUAUGUUAAUAUUUUAAGAAACAAAAUUAAUCCUACAAGGAGAAUGAUUUUUAAUCACACGCAGGGUUGGAUCUUAAGAGUGGCCUGCAGAAUAAAAAGAACUUUUAAAAUAAAGUAGUCAGAGGCUAUUCAAAGGGUAAAAUAAUCAUACUAUUUCCACUUGACACUAACCAAUCAACUAUUUUUUUUAUCAAGAAAGGUAGAUUCUAUGAGAUAAAAUUACUGCUUCUAAAGUGCUUAAAUCUAAUUAUAAAAAGUUAUAGAAACUUUUGAAAAGAUAAGUAAUAGAUAGGGUUGGUAGAGGAUAAAAUCAAAAACAAAACCAAGCAAAAGAUGAGUUCGGGGGAGUUUGCCAUAAAGUUCUAAAAGAGGAAAAUAUGAGGUGAACCUUGAAAGAUAAAUGGAAAGGAAGGAGAAAAUGGAGUUCUUUAAGUGGAUGUAAUUGGAGGAGAAAAUGAACACACACAUCUUGUCAACUUAACCCCAAACAUUCAGCAGCUCUCCUUAGGAGAGCUUUGCACACAGGAGGAGGUUGCCCACUCACCUCCUGUCUCUCACCCCAGGUAUUACCUAGAAUUAUUAUCAUAUUUCCCUUCCAUUAAAGUAAAUGAGGGUGUUGGGUGACAGUAUGGAGAAGUGUGAUUUUUUCAUUAACCUAAUAAUAACUGGUAUUUAUUGAGUUCUGUUAAGCAUUUCACAUAUUGACUCACUGAAGCCUUAUGACAACUGUGCAAAACAGGUAUUUUUAUUAUUCCCAUUUUACAGGCAAGAAAACUGAGGUUUAAGUAACUUGCCAAAGCGUCAUAUACAAGGCUUACAUUCAGGAUGGCAAUUGCAAAGCUCAUGAUCUAAAGUGCUAGGUUGCAAUAUUGUAAUCAGUGUCAUAAUUAUUAUUCCUUUUUGUAUUCCUUGAUAUUUUUCCAUGGUAAACAAAUAGCUAUUUCAUUUAACAGUCACCUUAAACUUUCCAGCCCUCUGGUUGAAAUGAAUCCAGAGUGAUAGAAUGUGUUUUCAUGACAGAAAUGGCCCAAAAAUGGGGGAAUGAAGUUCAUCAGCAUCUCAGAUUUUUGUUUGCAAGACUUUGAUGAGAGUGUUCAUUUUUGUCUACAUGAAAUCUCAAAUCCUUGAGAAUAAAAAAGGGAGAGGUUUAAGUCAUUUGUUGCAAUGCCCUUUUAAAUAGAGGAGAUAAAUCUAUAGCCCAUACAUUAGGAGUGACUUACAGAAGACUGCAAGUCUUCUUUGGGGUGUGGCUUAGUAAGGACCGGAAACCAGGCCCUCCACUUCACUCUCAGUAGCUCUUGCACUAGUCCGCCCUUCCUAAAGUCAGUGUGCAGUGUGCACUUGAAUUUUGUCAUUGGAAACCAUCUAUCUAGGUAGUAACCAGAUAGUGCCUAAUAGAUUGUUUCUGUUCUAUACUUCUUUGGUUUCCUACCUCAAUGUAAAAAAUAGCUAGCAAUGAAGUCCAGAAGUUGUUAAUGGCUCAUCCCCCAAAGAAUGCAUAAUGUCCAAAGUCAUGUGUAUAAUGUCUUCAAUGGUAUUUUUAAGUUGUUUCGAAUUCUUAGUUCACAUACAUAAAUCAUACUUAACGAGCAUCUUCUUAACCAGCUUUAUGCACAGUAUAUGUUUGUAAGUGCUUCUGCACGAAUGUUUAUAUGUGACUGUUUCCAUAGUACUUACAUUUUUUAAAAUAUUCAGUCAUUUCCUAUUCUAAUUUUCAUGCAUCCAUGUAACUGACUCAAAAUACUUCAGCCAUAAAAAGCUAGAACUGAGCAAAUCUCAUUCUUCUUUUCCAUCCCCUUUGCAUGUGGCUGGCAUUUAGUAAUGAUUAAUAAGGUGAUCAGCUGAAUAAUAGAGGUUCAAGACACAAUUCCAUCUCAAAGGAGUCAGGUAAGCUGGGUCUACUUAUGGAUAAACGUCUAAAUGUGUGGAAGUAUCUGAUAUUUGACUAUGGUAAAUUUCCACUUAGCUAGCUCGCAUUGUCAGUCUUAGAUCUCCUCAUGGCUCUGGCCGUCCUGUUUUCAACAUGAUAACUGAUAGCCACAGCUCACACAGUUCUCAUUAAGUCAGUUCAUAAAUAAACAGAGUUUUUUAAAAGAGCAGCCAAGCACAAAGUGUGACUUUGUUGACAUUUUAUGUGACUUUGUCAUGUGUUUCUAACCCCCAAUAAAAGCGAUGUUGCAUCAACUGUGAACUUGUGUUGAUUUAUUGAAAAAGCAUGCUCUUAUAAGUUGUUUGUUUCCACUAGUGUAUAUCAAAGGUAGUUUCAGGAUCCACAAGGAACAAGUCACCUAAUGUGAUAGGAAAAUUUAACUGUAGAGACAACUUCUAAAGGAUCCCACGUUAUCUUUAAAUAAAAGGUACUGUCAUCUGCCAAGUCAGAAACCAAGGUCUGAUCAUUGUCUCUUCUGGUUCCACCAGCAAUGGUCAAUUACUCACGUAAUCUUUUGAUUUUUUUUCUUCUUUCUGUUAUUUAAAUAUGCCUACAUCUCUACAUCUAUGCUACUGCAGUAAAGAACAACAACCCUAAUUUCUCUCCUGGACUUCCUUACCACGCCUCCAGUUUUCUUCACGCUCCAAGGGGCAGCCAGGGAAUUCUCUCUGAACCACAAAUGUGAUUGUAUUAUUCCAUGGCUUCUAACUCUUCACUGACUUCCCAUUGCCCCUGAGAUAUCACGACACCUAAAGCUCUUCAUGUCCUCAUCCUGGCUCCAAUAGUCCUCUCUGGACUCAUCAACUCCUCAGUCCCUCUGUGAUUCCAGGCUCCUGCCAUACACCUGCCUUUUCUUAAUGUUCCCCGUAUCUUCUGGGCUUUCUCACACACUUCAGCUUCUGCCUAGUACUUUCUCCACUGCACCUUCCAGACUUCAUCACUCAUCCUUCACAUUCCAUCCUAGAAGUCAUUUUCUCUGGAAAGUUUUCACCCCAGCCUCUACCACCGCUAAGACUAGCUUCCCUACCUAGGGGCGUUCAUGUCAUUCUGUGCUUACCUCUUGUUAGCACUUACCACCCAGUGUUGUGCUCAUAUUCAAAUAUGAGAUUCUAGAACUGCACCAUUCAACAAGGUAGCCACUCACCAUAUGUGAUGAUUUCAAUUUAAAUUAAUUAAGUAAAAUUUAAAAUUUAGUUCCUCAGUUGCAUUGCUCACAUCUCAAGUUCUCAGUAGCCACAAGCAACUGGUGGCCACUCUGUUGAACUGAACAGAUACAGAACAUGUCUAUAACUGAGACAGUUCCACUGGACAGUGCUGCUCCAGAACAUAAAUGCUAUGUUUUGCUUGCUAUUUUAUCCUCUAGACUUGCAGCCCUUUCUUAACUGGGGUUUCUCAUGUGAACCACAGAAAACAAAAAUAUGAUUUGAAUGAUACUUUCUCAAUUCUCCCAAGAAUGAUGUAUAAAAAGUACAAUGUUAUAUGCAAAGGAAGGAGCAUUAGGGUUCAAUUCUAGCAUAAAAUCCUGAUCAGGAAAGUCUAUAAUAGCCUAGCACAAUGCUUGGCAUCAAAAGUGCUUCAUAAAUGUCUGCUGAAUAAAUAUUGCAACUGGACCCUUGAGACAGUUUAUUUAUUUUCACCUAGAUGUGUAGAGUCAUGUAGGAAACAUGUCUUUAGAUUCCGAAGGGCCCCUUCUCUAGAGAAUGUGAUAGAUGAUUUUUUAAAAAUUUCAUCCCAAGGAUAGGUGAAUGGUAUUGCAGCGAAAGAUUAUCUAUUAUUUCACUUUCCUUUGAUGUUUACACAGACCAAAAAAAAAAAAGAAGAAGAAGAAGAAGAAGAAGAACUAAAUUGAGCUCUUAUUAAGUGAAUGAGAUAUGAGACGAACGUAGAAGUGAUUCAAUAACUACUGAUGCUACGAAGAAGCUAUCUAGAUAAAUGAUGGAUAGCUCGGGAAGGUUGUUCAAGGAUCAAAAUUUUGCUUCAGAUAACCUUCCUUCCACCUCACAAAAACUCACAAGCUGCAACAUUUCUGAUGUCUACUUCCACACAAGCCAACUUCAGGCCUUUUUCAAGUUCUGGAGGUCAGAAUUCCGACAUGGAUCUCACUGGGCUAAAAUCAAGCUGUUGACAUGGCUGCAUUCCUUCUGGAAACUCUAGUGAGAAAUUCAUUUUCUUGCCCUUUUCAGCUUCAAGAGGCCACACGUUUUUCAGAAUUAAUAGACCAGAUGUGACUGGAGUGACUUGCACCCGGAUGCCUAGACUCACCAUCUGCUCAAAGAUUGCUCGGAAAGUCCUCCCAUGCAUUCCCUUGCUGCAUACCAGCCCACUCUGCCUGCAGCUGCUGUCUGCAGGACUUCAUAUCUGCCCCACACUGUUUAAAAGCUGUGCUUCAAGAAAUCACAAGAACAUUUGCCUGCACCUUCUACACUGCUUAAAUGUGGCAUAAGUUGACCUUGCUUUCUAAGAAAUGGGGCAAGAAAUGCUUUGUGUGUGUGUGUGUGUUGUGUCUGUUUGUGUUUCAGUUAAGAGAGAAAAGCAUUAGGCAGAUGGAAUGUACAUGUGAGGAUGAGGAGACAGAAAAGAAGUAGCCCUUUCCAUCAAGAUAGAGGGUUUUCUGGGGAUGCUGGGUCUUGAAUGUCACUCCUGAUUCUUCUUUCUUAGGCACUGUACCACCAGCCUACUGAGAUUGUGUGGGAGCUUUCAUGGGGGUUGUGUUUCACUAAUGAAAAUAAAUUUUGUGCACAAUCUGAA
Molecule: long non-coding RNA, 15670 nt
Organism: Callithrix jacchus (white-tufted-ear marmoset)
Lineage: Eukaryota; Metazoa; Chordata; Mammalia; Primates; Cebidae
Source: RefSeq, a predicted model, not a curated record